UCAGGGUUUUCAGGGACAACAACCCCCACA
Molecule: non-coding RNA, 30 nt
Filed under: Homo sapiens (human)
Lineage: Eukaryota; Metazoa; Chordata; Mammalia; Primates; Hominidae
Source: RNAcentral